Molecule: unclassified non-coding RNA, 240 nt
Filed under: fungal sp.
Lineage: Eukaryota; Fungi
Also listed under: 1 other name
Description: partial internal transcribed spacer region
Rfam family: Eukaryotic small subunit ribosomal RNA (bases 1-46)
Source: RNAcentral
AAGUCGUAACAAGGUUUCCGUAGGUGAACCUGCGGAAGGAUCAUUAAUGUGUUGGUGCCGCUUGGAGUAGAAGGCAACCCCUUCUGAGAAGAGCGAGCAACCUUACGCUGUGUUGUGUGAAUGUGAGUGCGGAUGCAAGUCCGCAACUUUUUCCAAUCCUUUUUUUUUCAUGUUCUGAUUCUUGAGACCCUUUGUGGUCUACAAUACCGAAAACUGCCAGCAAUGGAUCACUCGGUUCUC